CAGUCGCCGCGGUAAUACGAAGGGUGCAAGCGCUAAUCGGAAUUACUGGGCGUAAAGCGUGCGUAGGCGGUGAGUUAAGUCUGCUGUGAAAUCCCCGGGCUCAACCUGGGAAUGGCAGUGGAUACUGGCUCGCUAGAGUGUGUCAGAGGAUGGUGGAAUUCCCGGUGUAGCGGUGAAAUGCGUAGAGAUCGGGAGGAACAUCAGUGGCGAAGGCGGCCAUCUGGGACAACACUGACGCUGAGGCACGAAAGCGUGGGGAGCAAACAGGAUUAGAUACCCCAGUAGUCCCUGUCUCUUAUAA
This 301-nucleotide ribosomal RNA is filed under the name uncultured bacterium. RNAcentral's name for it is "partial 16S ribosomal RNA". It matches the Rfam family "Bacterial small subunit ribosomal RNA", at positions 509 to 809 of the family's 1533-position model. The record is from RNAcentral.